CCAGUCCCUGGAAGAUGAAGUUAGUUAGCAUUUGGUGCCCAGCCAGCAGCAAUGUGACUUAGGCUUUUCGUCCUAGUAGGAAUUUGACUCAUUGGGCCUGCAAAAGAUUUUCGUGACAAAUGAAAUAUUUUUCUAAACCAAGGACUUGGGGAUAACUUCAGGGUCAAAGACAUCUUAUCAUAUUUAAGGUUCACGGAUUUUUCUUUACCUCUGAGUCAUUCUGUAGAGCAG
This 231-nucleotide long non-coding RNA is filed under the name Homo sapiens (human). RNAcentral's name for it is "HSALNT0311121". Lineage: Eukaryota; Metazoa; Chordata; Mammalia; Primates; Hominidae. The record is from RNAcentral.